RNAcentral lists this ribosomal RNA (433 nucleotides) under uncultured bacterium. RNAcentral's name for it is "partial 16S ribosomal RNA". It matches the Rfam family "Bacterial small subunit ribosomal RNA", at positions 29 to 507 of the family's 1533-position model. The record is from RNAcentral.
AACGAACGCUGGCGGCAUGCCUAACACAUGCAAGUCGAACGAGACCUUCGGGUCUAGUGGCGCACGGGUGCGUAACGCGUGGGAACCUGCCCUUAGGUUCGGAAUAACUCCCCGAAAGGGGUGCUAAUACCGGAUAAUGUCUUCGGACCAAAGAUUUAUUGCCUUUGGAUGGGCCCGCGUUGGAUUAGCUAGUUGGUAGGGUAAAAGCCUACCAAGGCGACGAUCCAUAGCUGGUCUGAGAGGAUGAUCAGCCACACUGGGACUGAGACACGGCCCAGACUCCUACGGGAGGCAGCAGUGGGGAAUAUUGGACACUGGGCGAAAGCCUGAUCCAGCAAUGCCGCGUGAGUGAUGAAGGCCUUAGGGUUGUAAAGCUCUUUUACCCGGGAUGAUAAUGACAGUACCGGGAGAAUAAGCUCCGGCUAACUCCGUG